GACGAACGAGGGCGGAGGGAGGAACAAAGGCAAGUCGAACGACGAGCGAUGGAAGCUUGCUUCUAUCAAUCUUAGUGGCGAACGGGUGAGUAACGCGUAAUCAACCUGCCCUUCAGAGGGGGACAACAGUUGGAAACGACUGCUAAUACCGCAUACGAUCUAAUCUCGGCAUCGAGGAUAGAUGAAAGGUGGCCUCUACAUGUAAGCUAUCACUGAAGGAGGGGAUUGCGUCUGAUUAGCUAGUUGGAGGGGUAACAGUCCACCAAGGCGAUGAUCAGUAGCCGGUCUGAGAGGAUGAACGGCCACAUUGGGACUGAGACACGGCCCAGACUCCUACGGGAGGCAGCAGUGGGGAAUCUUCCGCAAUGGACGAAAGUCUGACGGAGCAACGCCGCGUGAGUGAUGACGGCCUUCGGGUUGUAAAACUCAGGUUAUCGGGACGAAAGGCCUUCUUGCGAAUAGUGAGAAGGAUUGACGGUACCGGAAUAGAAAGCCACGGCUACUUACGUG
RNAcentral lists this ribosomal RNA (510 nucleotides) under uncultured bacterium. Its description in RNAcentral is "partial 16S ribosomal RNA". It matches the Rfam family "Bacterial small subunit ribosomal RNA", at positions 28 to 507 of the family's 1533-position model. The record is from RNAcentral.